Dermochelys coriacea (leatherback sea turtle) is the source of this 1915-nucleotide long non-coding RNA. RefSeq lists it as uncharacterized. The record is from RefSeq and is a predicted model, not a curated record. Lineage: Eukaryota; Metazoa; Chordata; Testudines; Dermochelyidae. The transcript has 3 exons.
CCCUGACUAGUGAGGGAGAAGGAUUGGCUUCUGAGCUAAGGAACAGCAUCUUGGAUCAAGCAGUGUAGGACUCUGGCCCAGAUACCUGGCAGGCUGGGGCCUUUGCUAAGAGGGGUUGAGAAGGUGCAUAGGGCCAAAGGGGAAGUGGUGCAAGGGAGAGGAGGGCAGAAGGAGGCUGCCACUAGAGGGUCCCUGGGUUGGGAUGCAGAGUAGUGGGUGGGCCUUGGUUCUCCCCCCCCCCCCCAUUUCCCCUUUGUACUGUCCCUGGCCAUGGAGGAGAGAGGCUGAGACAGACUGUGACCUGUUCCUGAGACAAGGGACUAGAGUCUAGGGUUGUGGUUGGUCACCAAGGCAGGGAUAAAUGGAAGAACUGCUGUUAACAAUGCCCCCACCCCUAGAAGGGGAUGAGACCAGAGUGGUGGGCAGUGUCCUGAAGUGGAUGCAGAGUGUCCUGCAGAGGACGCUGCCGAAUAGGGAGCAACGUGGGUCCCAGGACAGUGGAGCGGAGACAACGGGCGAGCUACCAUGUGUUGAGGAUGCCCAGCAGCGGUCAAGAGCUAAUUCCCAGAGCAACCAGUUGGAGGCGUCAGCGGUGGUGCAUCCUGACUCUCACUAUGUAUGAGAUGAAGUCAAAGGAGGGAAUUUAAUAUCCAGCAGAAGCUUGUACAGUCUAGUAAAACUUCAAAAUCUAGGGGCCAGAUCCUCAGCUGGUAUAAAUCAGCAUAGCUCUAUUAAGCUCAGUGGUGCUAUAUUUAUUUACACCCAUUGAGAAUCUGGCUCCCUGUGUCUAAGAACAGUUGGUAACAGUGGUAAUUAAUCAAAAGAUAACCAUUCCAACCCACUGUGAAAACAAUGGAGACUAGAAUAUACGAAGACUACAUAAAGAGAUGAUUGUUGUGUUCUCUUCAACAGCUUUCUUAUUUUGUUUGCAAGAAUAUGGAUUUUUUCAUCUUGUUUUAAAGAAUUACUUCCAAUUUAAUCAGAUAUUGUAAUAGCAUAAUGAUGGGAUGGAAGUUAUAUUCAUUAUAUAUAGAUACAAUGCAAAACUUGGUGGAGGUUUUUUUUGGCAAUUUCCUGGAAAAUUGAGUAAUCUCUGAUUUCUGAUGCUUCAGAGGAUUAAUACUACCAGCAGUAAUGCCUCAGUUCCAACAGAGUAAUGUUUGUAAGCAACAUAAUUGGAAAUGAAUAGCUGCAUCAUACAGACAUUAACAUCUGCAUCAGCUGUGAAAUCUGAAGAUGGUCAUGUUGCACACUGGGGGCUGGCUGGAGUACACUUCAAUUGAACUGAAAGCAAUGAUAGUCAUGUGGAAGGCAAUGUUUAUAGAGGAUGCACCUUUAAUGAUCUAACAGUAAAUUGUGUAUAAAACAGCAUGCAAGCUUUUUAAUGUUUUUUUUUUUUUUUUUUAAGAAAUGGACUUCAUUGUCAAGGUUCAGUAACGAGCCCAUUCAUCUUCAGAAAGGGUUGGUCCUAUCUGAAGAAAUACAGAAAACAUAGGAUGUACAUUUCCUAAUUUCAUCAUCUUGUAGCUAUUAAGAAAUUGAACUAUAUUAUAUGAAAAACAAAACACUGAGAUGCCAGGAUGAGUAUUACUGAAGGAGGAAUGUGUUUCCCUUAACCUCCUUUUGGCAGCUCUUAGCUUGUCAAAAUUAUAAUAAAAGUGGUCCUUCAUUGAAACUGAAUGGAUGUUUGAUUGAAACAUUGCUUAAAUCUUCCUCUAUGAACAAUCUACACUAUAGGGCAUUCUAGCUAUAAACUUUGGAGGCUAUAUUUUUCUGAACUAACAAGAUGGCCCAGAGUACGUGUCAUCUAGAGGAGGUUAAUUUAAAGAUAGUUUCCAGCUCUCAUUCUCAACUCUCAGUUAAUGUUAAUGUACAAAUCAGUGUUUACAAUAUUGCAGAAUAAAAAUUUGAUAAA